This is a long non-coding RNA of Cygnus olor (mute swan), 889 nucleotides long. RefSeq lists it as uncharacterized. The transcript is spliced from 3 exons. Lineage: Eukaryota; Metazoa; Chordata; Aves; Anseriformes; Anatidae. The record is from RefSeq and is a predicted model, not a curated record.
CAGGAUUAUGAUGUGAAGACCUGUUACCAAAUCUUAAGCUUCACCAGCCGUGUUGUUCACACCAUUGCAGCACCCAGAUGUGGAUUUCAGCUAUACUUCCCAGUGAUUUGGUUAAUUUUGGACCCUUAAUGGACACCUUCAGAGUGGAAAAGGAAGAACUACAUGCUGGAGAUGUGGUGUGAAGAAUCUGAAAAGCUGACCACCCGGUGUGUUGAGUCCGUAUAGCAUACUGUACAUUUACUCAGUAGCAGAUUCGCUUGUAAGAAGAAGAAUACAAAGCAGCUAAAGCUUUGGAGACCUUGGGAAUUCUAUCAAACUGAAUGGAAAAUGCUCACUUGAAAUAAGUGCCUAUUUUUAACUGAAUACUAAAAUUUCAAUGGGUGACUUUGACCUGCAGUGAAUGAAGCAGAGUGUUUAAGGACUUCUAUUCUUAAAGUGAGAAGUAUAGCUCAUGUGAUGUACACCAGACAAAGUAGAGAAAUAAAAGCUAUUUUUUUUUUCUUCUGAAAAUCUAAAUGUGUCCAAAAAGGUCAAAAUGCUGCAAAACAAAUUUUCUGGAAUUUCACUGGUUCCAUUAAUGUCUAAAGAGUUAUACUAAAGCAUCUAUGGCAGAACAGAUGCAUAAGCUUUCCCUAGAAUUAUGCGCACUGUGAGUAUUGCCUGGUCCAGUAAUGUGCAGGAAGAAAUGCUUGGAGGUAGCAGCUACAGAUGAGUCAAGUCAAAAACAUAGAAUAAGGAAUGGUUUUGCAAGCUAAGGAGCAGUAAUAUGUUACUAGUGAGGCUGGAGGUCAAGGAGAGGAAGAUAGAACAAGAUUUGUGGAGCCCACAGAGUGGGUGAGCUUUGUAGCAGUUGGAGGCUCAGAAUUUUAAUCUAUUGGACGUGAUUUCA